This 463-nucleotide ribosomal RNA is filed under the name uncultured Methanolinea sp. Its description in RNAcentral is "bacterial SSU rRNA". It matches the Rfam family "Archaeal small subunit ribosomal RNA", at positions 877 to 1338 of the family's 1478-position model. Lineage: Archaea; Methanobacteriati; Methanobacteriota; Methanomicrobia; Methanomicrobiales; Methanoregulaceae. The record is from RNAcentral.
CACCACAACGGGUGGAGCCGUGCGGUUUAAUUGGACUCAACGCCGGGCAGCUCACCGGAUAAGACAGCUGGAUGAUAGCCGGGCUGAAGACUCUGCUUGACUAGCUGAGAGGAGGUGCAUGGCCGUCGUCAGUUCGUACUGUGAAGCAUCCUGUUAAGUCAGGCAACGAGCGAGACCCACGCCAACAGUUGCCAGCAUGUCCUCCGGGAUGAUGGGGACACUGUUGGGACCGCCUCUGCUAAAGAGGAGGAAGGAAUGGGCAACGGUAGGUCAGCAUGCCCCGAAUUAUCCGGGCUACACGCGGGCUACAAUGGUCAGGACAAUGGGUAUCGACACCGAGAGGUGGAGGCAAUCUCCUAAACCUGUCCUUAGUUCGGAUUGUGGGCUGCAACUCGCCCACAUGAAGCUGGAAUCCGUAGUAAUCGCGUUUCAAAAUAGCGCGGUGAAUAUGUCCCUGCUCCUU